Molecule: ribosomal RNA, 253 nt
Filed under: uncultured bacterium
Lineage: Bacteria
Description: partial 16S ribosomal RNA
Rfam family: Bacterial small subunit ribosomal RNA
Source: RNAcentral
UACGAAGGGGGCGAGCGUUGUUCGGAAUUACUGGGCGUAAAGGGCGCGUAGGCGGCACAGCAAGUCGGGAGUGAAAGCCCGGGGCUCAACCCCGGAACUGCUUUCGAAACUGCUGAGCUAGAGUGCGGAAGAGGCAACUGGAAUUCCCAGUGUAGCGGUGAAAUGCGUAGAUAUUGGGAAGAACACCGGAGGCGAAGGCGGGUUGCUGGGCCGACACUGACGCUGAGGCGCGAAAGCCAGGGGAGCGAACGGG